This 405-nucleotide ribosomal RNA is filed under the name uncultured Alphaproteobacteria bacterium. RNAcentral's name for it is "bacterial SSU rRNA". It matches the Rfam family "Bacterial small subunit ribosomal RNA", at positions 9 to 442 of the family's 1533-position model. Lineage: Bacteria; Pseudomonadati; Pseudomonadota; Alphaproteobacteria. The record is from RNAcentral.
GAGUUUGAUCCUGGCUCAGGACGAACGCUGGCGGCAGGCUUAACACAUGCAAGUCGAACGCCCUCUUCGGAGGGAGUGGCAGACGGGUGAGUAACGCGUGGGAAAUUACCUAUCAGUACGGAACAACAGUUAGAAAUGACUGCUAAUACCGUAUACGCCCUUCGGGGGAAAGAUUCAUCGCUGAUAGAUGUGCCCGCGUUAGAUUAGCUAGUUGGUGAGGUAAUGGCUCACCAAGGCGACGAUCUAUAGCUGGUCUGAGAGGAUGAUCAGCCACACUGGAACUGAGACACGGUCCAGACUCCUACGGGAGGCAGCAGUGGGGAAUAUUGGACAAUGGGCGAAAGCCUGAUCCAGCCAUGCCGCGUGUGUGAUGAAGGCCUUAGGGUUGUAAAGCACUUUCAACGG